AAUCUGCAUUUCGAGAAGCUUGACAUCUGGGAUGGAUGAAAAGUUUGAAGUCCCUUCAGCAACAUCAUGAUAAGUAAUCUGCACUUUAGGUUGAUCCAUCAAACUCAUAUUUGAAGUCAUCAAUUCUGGACCUUUAGGAAAUAAUUUCGGAUCUUUUUGGUAUAAUGCUUUCCACAAGGUGGACAUCCAAGGAUCCAGAGCACCUUCAUACCCUGAAGGGUGCUGAUCA
This 229-nucleotide unclassified non-coding RNA is filed under the name Hevea brasiliensis (rubber tree). Lineage: Eukaryota; Viridiplantae; Streptophyta; Magnoliopsida; Malpighiales; Euphorbiaceae. The record is from RNAcentral.